GAGAAGAGCAAACCUUAAUUGGAGGGAAGAAGUACUCAAGGCAGACGUGCAAAAGAUGAUCAGUGGGUAAAAGCAACCCUGGGGAGAAGAAACAGGCAGAAAGGAAAGCUAAAUGUUGGCCUGCUAGAAAAGACCUGCCUGGAGGCGCUCUGGGUUUUAUUGAACACUGCAGGGCUGCUUUAAUUUAGCAGUGUUUAUUUUCCAAGGUUUGCAACACCAGGGCUCUUUCCAAUAUACUGCAUUUGCCGGUGUAUUUUGGCUGUGCCUAGAGGCCCACCAUGGGCUGACGGAUGUCCAGGUGUGGAAAAGCACGUUAGCCAUUUGUUUGCACAGUGGAUUGAUUUCUUUGCACUUUCUUUGUCCCUCUUAAUUGAAAUAGUAAACAUUACUGUACUCAAAACUGAAAUAGUCCCCGGACAUCAGUCUUAUACAUUAAUAAUUAGAAAUAUAACUCCUUUAGGAUGCCUCUUCCUUGGAUCACAUCCUUCAAAUGUCAAGCCGGUUUGUAAUAAGAAUCAGAGAACUGUAUAAGGCAACCUGAUACUUAACAAGAAACUACACAAACUCUCACCAAACAAAAGCAUCACAGAAAGCAGGAGGAAAGAAAGGAGAAUUUUUAAAACCAUCUUCUCAAGGCAUAUGGAAAUGCCAGUGCUCUGUUUUUCCAGGUUAACACAACUAGGUCUCUCUCUUCUAGGUGCUCUGAAUAGGUUACUGAUGAGCCAUCUGCAGCAGGCCUGCUCCUGGAUGUCACGCCCCUGUUAAUGAAAUCUGGACGUGCACUGGAAAACGGACCUGGUGAAUGGUAGAUGUCAGCCCUUGCGUGAUGGGCAAUCAUCAAUCAUCCAUUGUCAGUUAUUUCUGUCCCAGUGAGUAAGCCUUUAUUUAAAGCAGAAAGUAAGAAUGUUGCCAGACCACAGGAACAAGCCCUGAGCUGUUUGCAGGUGCUGCUAUUCACAGCUGCCAAUUAAACUCCUGACAUUUCCAUAUUGGCCAUGAGGCACAGCAUAUGCUUUGGACAUACCAAAUCUUAAAAAAAAAAAAAAAAUCGUCACUCUCAGAUUAUCAAUACAUGUGUCUUUUUCCCCCAUGCUUUCAACAUUAGGAUUUUAAAGAUAGUUUAUUCUAGAAAUAGAGGAAGGAGAAACAAAAACUUAAGUGAAGGGAGUUAUUAAGAUGUGCGCAUAGCCUCCUUUCUUGCCUUUGGAAAGUGGCCAGCAUUUUAGAUGUGGAAAGUCUUUUCUGAUGCUGACAUCUACAUAGCAGAAAUCUCCUUUCAGGAUUUCCACUUUCAAAAAUCUUUUUCCUUCUAUCCUUAAAUUUUUUCUUACUAGUUGAUAACCAAAUGCUACUGCUUACCUCAUGUAAUCGAGUACUAUUAAAAGGAGAUAUUAAAAUUUUGAUCAUGCAACUAUAUUCCAUUUCUUUCAUUGGGAUUCAAACAUAAGUGUGCUUUGUGUUUAAAGAAUUUCAUGAAACUUGCCAGAGACAUUUUAGUCUUUCAUGAAAGUAAGCCCAUGAUAGGAUGGAUUCCUCUGCAGAGUUUACACAAUGCCUUCACUCUCACAUAUGUCCAGAUUGGAAGAUGAAAGCAUUCAACCGCUCUUGUGAGGAUUAUGGAUAUUGUGGAUGUGUUAAUUCAUUAAUUCUAUACACGAAGAAAGAAAUGGCAACCCACUCCAGUAUUCUUUCCUGAGAUAGCCCAUGGACAGAGGAGCCUGGCAUGCUACAGUCCAUAGGGUCGAAAAAGAGUCGGACAGGACUUAGUGACUAAACAAUAACAAAAAAAUGCACAUAGCAUACAAUUAAAGUGUACAAGCCAGUAGCAUUUAGUGUAUUCAGUGUUGUGCAACUACCAUUUCCCUCUAGUUUUCAAAUGUUUUCAUUAUCCCAGGAAGCACCCUGUAUCCAUUGAAUAAUCACUCACUCCAGAUUUUUCCCUCCCAGACCCUGGUANNNNNNNNNNNNNNNNNNNNNNNNNNNNNNNNNNNNNNNNNNNNNNNNNNNNNNNNNNNNNNNNNNNNNNNNNNNNNNNNNNNNNNNNNNNNNNNNNNNUCCCUCUAGUUUUCAAAUGUUUUCAUUAUCCCAGGAAGCACCCUGCAUCCAUUGAAUAAUCACUCACUCCAGAUUUUUCCCUCCCAGACCCUGGUAACUACUAAUUUGCUUUCUGAUUCUAUAGAUUUACCUAUUCUGGAUACAGCCUAUGACAGUAAUCAUAUAAUAGGUGACCUUUUGUGUUUGACGUCUUGGGAUAGUG
RNAcentral lists this long non-coding RNA (2257 nucleotides) under Capra hircus (goat). RNAcentral's name for it is "lncRNA (ENSCHIG00010005795.1)". Lineage: Eukaryota; Metazoa; Chordata; Mammalia; Artiodactyla; Bovidae. The record is from RNAcentral.